Molecule: ribosomal RNA, 113 nt
Filed under: Burkholderia ubonensis
Lineage: Bacteria; Pseudomonadati; Pseudomonadota; Betaproteobacteria; Burkholderiales; Burkholderiaceae
Source: RNAcentral
CCUGAUGACCAUAGCGAGUCGGUCCCACCCCUUCCCAUCCCGAACAGGACCGUGAAACGACUCUACGACGAUGAUAGUGCGGAUUCCCGUGUGAAAGUAGGUAAUCGUCAGGC